UACGUAGGGUGCGAGCGUUGUCCGGAAUUACUGGGCGUAAAGAGCUCGUAGGUGGUUUGUCGCGUUGUUCGUGAAAUCCCACGGCUUAACUGUGGGCGUGCGGGCGAUACGGGCAGACUGGAGUACUGCAGGGGAGACUGGAAUUCCUGGUGUAGCGGUGGAAUGCGCAGAUAUCAGGAGGAACACCGAUGGCGAAGGCAGCUCGCUGGGACGGUACUGACGCUGAGGCGCGAAAGCGUGGGGAGCGAACAGG
Molecule: ribosomal RNA, 253 nt
Filed under: uncultured bacterium
Lineage: Bacteria
Description: partial 16S ribosomal RNA
Rfam family: Bacterial small subunit ribosomal RNA
Source: RNAcentral